GUUGAUAUAGUUGAGCGAUGCAGUCCUGUAGCUCUGCUCACUGUGUCCUGAUCUUACUGAUCUUCACAUUCACUGCUGUGUAUGUGUCAGCUGUUCCUCUAGUGAGGGUGAAGCUUCAUGACUCUGCUACUCUGCCCUGCUCUGAGACAUGUUCUGGUUUGGUCAGAUGGACUGAGUUCCAUAAUCCCACUGAUGUUCUAGCUGAGUGUGAUCAGACCUCAUGUAGAUCAGUGAAGGAGGGAUAUCAGAUGAUCCAUGAUCAGUACCUGAAGGGAGAUCUCUCUCUCACCAUCACUGACGCUGAUUACAGUAUGAUGGGCACGUACACAUGUGAGUGCGGUAAUUCUGAACUCUGUGAUGUGCGGCUUCAGGUUGAGGAAACACCAGAGGCAGGGAACAAUAUUUCUGGCAGCAGUCAUACUAAAGGAACGUCCCACGGGUCUGAAUCAGCUGUUUCUCUAGUGAAGGUGAAGCUUCAUGACUCUGCUACUCUGCCCUGCUCUGGGAGAUGUCCUGGUUUUGUCAGAUGGACUGAGUUCAGUAAACCCAGUGAUGUUCUGGCUGAGUGUGAUCAGACUUCAUGUAGAUCAGUGAAGGAGGGAUAUCAGAUGAUCUAUGAUCAGUACCUGAAGGGAGAUUUCUCUCUCAUCAUCACUAAUGCUGAUUUCAGUAAGAAGGGAGUCUACUCAUCUGACUGUGAUGGUAAAGAUCUCUGUGAUGUGGAGCUUCAGGUUGAGGACACACCAGAGCCAGAGAAGAGGCCUGAGAUCAAAGGAGACAUUGACAAACCAUCCCAUGGUGAAGGACAACGCUGGGUGCCUGUGUUGGUUGCUGUGCUCACGGUGGUGCUGAUGCUGGUGCUGUUGCAGAUACUGGUGCAUGUGUCUGUAGCUGCAGGGUGGUAUAUGUUCAAAGCAAGGAGCAUGAAAAGUUCCGAUCAGGAGGAAAACCAGGAGUAAAGUUCUGCAGUGUGAGCUCAGCAUCAGCUAACAGUUUCUGACUGUGAUAUUAAUAUUGAUAUUGAUUGUAUCUGUAAGUGUUUAGUUUAGUGAAUCUCUUUUUCAUGGUGUUCCUCUGUAAGAACAAAGUCUGUCUGGUUUUCUGACUCUGUGAUGUUGAUUAUAUUGAUUGUAUCUGUAAAUGAUUAGUUUGUUCCACUGUAAAGAACAGAGACUGUCUGGUAGCUUUCAGUCCCUCACACACACACACACACACACACACACACACACAGUCAGUGUAUAAACACCGUAAAGACCCCGACACUCUGACACCCCGACCAGCAGCAGCUCAGCUGUGUCUGAUUUCAUCUUCAGCUGAGUGCAGAGCGUCUGAAGCAGCUGUAAGGCAGCAUGUUCACCCUUCAGCUCCUGAUAGAAGUGUGGAGGAGUUCCUCUCAGAGCUCACAGCUCACUAUCACACACACAGUCCUCAGUUCUUUCAGUGGAAUAAGAGCUUUCAUACAGACGUGGACUUUAAAGUGUAUAAGCUGUUACUGUUUUAAAGGAAACUCUGACUGAUGAGACUCAUGUGCUUUAUAACAGUGUAGUAAUGUCCAGUACUGUUAUAAUCUAAUGUACAAACCGACGAGAAUGUUUUAUUUAUUAUAACAUAAAGAGAGAAAAUCUCCCGACUAGUAACUCACCAUUGAGGCCUUGUGAUGAUGUCAUGAUUGUUCAGGUCAUCUGGAAAAUAAGAUUAUUAAAAGUUUCUCUUCUGGGUAAUUAAGGCUCUAGAUAAAGCUGGAAAGGUUCCAUUAGAUGUUUAGUUGAUUCCUAUUAGAGGAAUUUUAACAGUCAGUGUUUUGCUUGAGGCCUGAGUAUCAGUCAGGGUUUGAUUUAAAUUGUUCCAUCACCGUUAUUGUUAUUACUUUUAUUACUGUUACUACUUUCUGUACUUGUAUUACUAUUAUUACUUACUUACCCGCAUUGCCUUUAUUACUAUAUCACUUUCUUUACUGAUAAUAGGGCAGCAAACUAACAUGCAGCUCAUCCAGCUAAUGGCCUUUUACAGUAUGCGUGGUUAAUAUUAGUAAUAGCAGUAGCAGUAAAGCUUUUGCUAGUAGUAUUGUGCCUUUGAUUGCUACAAAUAAGAGUUAAAUCAAUAGAUGUCAAAUAUUUCCUGCCUUAUUUUGAAUAUGACGUCACAAACAUCACUCAGAAGACGUGAACUGGCCCAUGAGACAGUGGGCAGUAUAGAUAUUAAUGUUCGUUUAGAAGUAACAGCUUCAGUUCUUCUCCUCAGGAACCCAGUUGGGAAACAGAAUAGCAGCUCACUGUCUCUUUGUUUUAUGUUCUUUAUAUGUCGUAUUUGAAGCUUUGGUGUUAUGAAUAAAAGCCGAACUAUAGUUGUUAUUUGUAAUUUGCUGAUAGUGCCUAAAAUUAUAACAAUGCAAGGCUGUUAUACUCCUGGGUAAAUAAAGCCUGUUUGAAGGAAUAACUGGUGUUUAUGAUCUUCAUUACCUUUUUUUAACAUUCAGAUCUUCAGAGAAAUAAACGUUUGUCAAAGUGAAGUACGUAAAGAGCCCACAUGACUGAAUUCACUCCAUUGAGUAUGUGAAGAUGUGAAAAUGUUAGUUUUAAAUGCUGCAUUCACUCUCCAGUCCAUACAGUCUAUAUAUGGGAACUGAACGUCCUGCUCUGAAUUUACUGGAUUUGUCCUGAGGUCGUUCUACAGCAUCUCUAAUGAGGUAAGGUCUCUCCACUGACUGGACAACUCCAGAAGGCAGAUUUAGUUUGGAAGCCAUUCUGUAGUAGAUUCACUUUGAUGCCUGGGGAUGUCGUCCUGCAUUACUCAGACAGCCACAGUCAGUCAUUCUUGAUGAUCAGUCAAGGCCCAUCAUAAUCAUGAUGCUCCCACCACCAUACUUCACUGCUGUCGUGCUGUUUUCUUAUUUACGCCGAAUGUAGUGCUGUGUGUUCUUCUCAAACCACUUUCAUCCGUCCACUAAAAGGUGCUUUUUGGUAAACAUCAGGUGUGCGUUGGUGUUUUUUCAUAGACUCACUCCUGACUCCAAGCUUUUGCUCAU
Pygocentrus nattereri (red-bellied piranha) is the source of this 3025-nucleotide long non-coding RNA. Lineage: Eukaryota; Metazoa; Chordata; Actinopteri; Characiformes; Serrasalmidae. The record is from Ensembl.